GACGUAGGGCGCGAGCGUUGUCCGGAUUUAUUGGGCGUAAAGAGCUCGUAGGCGGCUUGUCGCGUCGACUGUGAAAACCCGCGGCUCAACCGCGGGCCUGCAGCCGAUACGGGCAGGCUAGAGUUCGGUAGGGGAGACUGGAAUUCCCGGUGUAGCGGUGGAAUGCGUAGAGAUCGGGAAGAACAUCGGUGGCGAAGGCGGCCUGCUGGGCUGUUGCUGACACUGAGGCGCGACAGCGUGGGGAGCAAACAGG
RNAcentral lists this ribosomal RNA (253 nucleotides) under uncultured bacterium. Its description in RNAcentral is "partial 16S ribosomal RNA". It matches the Rfam family "Bacterial small subunit ribosomal RNA", at positions 524 to 776 of the family's 1533-position model. The record is from RNAcentral.